GGGGGCCCGCAAGCGGUGGAGCAUGUGGUUUAAUUCGAAGCAACGCGAAGAACCUUACCAGGUCUUGACAUCCCGCUGCCCGGUGUAGAGAUACGCCUUUCCCUUCGGGGACAGCGGUGACAGGUGGUGCAUGGUUGUCGUCAGCUCGUGUCGUGAGAUGUUGGGUUAAGUCCCGCAACGAGCGCAACCCUUGAUCUUAGUUGCCAGCAUUCAGUUGGGCACUCUAAGGUGACUGCCGGUGACAAACCGGAGGAAGGUGGGGAUGACGUCAAAUCAUCAUGCCCCUUAUGACCUGGGCUACACACGUGCUACAAUGGACGGUACAAAGGGCUGCAAACCCGCGAGGGGGAGCCAAUCCCAGAAAACCGUUCUCAGUUCGGAUUGCAGGCUGCAACUCGCCUGCAUGAAGCCGGAAUCGCUAGUAAUCGUGGAUCAGCAUGCCACGGUGAAUACGUUCCCGGGCCUUGUACACACC
Molecule: ribosomal RNA, 475 nt
Filed under: uncultured bacterium
Lineage: Bacteria
Description: bacterial SSU rRNA
Rfam family: Bacterial small subunit ribosomal RNA
Source: RNAcentral